Molecule: ribosomal RNA, 451 nt
Filed under: uncultured bacterium
Lineage: Bacteria
Description: partial 16S ribosomal RNA
Rfam family: Bacterial small subunit ribosomal RNA
Source: RNAcentral
GUGGGGAAUAUUGGACAAUGGGGGGAACCCUGAUCCAGCCAUGCCGCGUGUGUGAAGAAGGCCUUUUGGUUGUAAAGCACUUUAAGCGAGGAGGAGGCUACCGAGAUUAAUACUCUUGGAUAGUGGACGUUACUCGCCGAAUAAGCACCGGCUAACUCUGUGCCAGCAGCCGCGGUAAUACAGAGGGUGCAAGCGUUAAUCGGAUUUACUGGGCGUAAAGCGCGCGUAGGUGGCCAAUUAAGUCAAAUGUGAAAUCCCCGAGCUUAACUUGGGAAUUGCAUUCGAUACUGGUUGGCUAGAGUAUGGGAGAGGAUGGUAGAAUUCCAGGUGUAGCGGUGAAAUGCGUAGAGAUCUGGAGGAAUACCGAUGGCGAAGGCAGCCAUCUGGCCUAAUACUGACACUGAGUUGCGAAAGCAUGGGGAGCAAACAGGAUUAGAAACCCCAGUAGUCC